Molecule: non-coding RNA, 31 nt
Filed under: Mus musculus (house mouse)
Lineage: Eukaryota; Metazoa; Chordata; Mammalia; Rodentia; Muridae
Source: RNAcentral
UGAUGUUCACUGUAUCGAGGCCGAUCCUCUU